GCUUUUUCUCCGGCCGAAGAGCAGUGAUCCGAAGCAGUUCCGGUACUGUGGAGGUACCGGUAACUAGAGGCUGCCCGCAGGGAUCAAUCAGCGGCCCAUUUAUCUGGGACAUACUGAUGGAUGUACUGCUUCAGCGUCUCCAGCCGUAUUGCCAGCUGAGUGCAUACGCGGAUGACUUGCUGCUUCUCGUCGAGGGAAAUUCCCGAGCUGUGCUAGAGGAAAAAGGAGCGCAACUAAUGUCCAUCGUAGAAACGUGGGGAGCGGAAGUUGGCGUUGCCGUCUCGACCAGCAAGACGGUAAUCAUGCUGCUGAAAGGUGCCUUGAGACGUGCGCCUACGGUGAGGUUUGCUGGAGCGAACCUUCCGUAUGUGCGUAGCUGUCGGUACCUUGGCAUCACGGUCAGUGAAGGAAUGAAAUUCCUCACGCACAUAGCUUCGCUUCGCCAGCGGAUGACAGGAGUCGUUGGAGCAUUGGCGCGUGUGCUUCGAGCCGACUGGGGCUUCAGUCCUCGAGCCAGGCGGACCAUAUAUGACGGACUCAUGGCACCUUGUGUGCUGUUUGGUGCCCCGGUAUGGUAUGACACCGCGGAACAAGUAGCUGCCCAGAGGCGACUAGCCUCCUGCCAGAGGCUAAUCCUGCUUGGAUGCCUUUCGGUAUGCCGAACAGUGUCCACAGUGGCACUGCAGGUACUUGGUGGAGCUCCCCCGCUUGAUCUGGCUGCUAAGUUAUUAGCGAUUAAAUACAAGCUAAAACGUGGAUUCCCGCUGGAGGAGAACGACUGGCUUUACGGCGAGGACAUUGCGUGUCUUAGCUGGGAGCAGAGGAAGACUCGCCUAGAGGAGUGUUUAAUCCAGAGUUGGCAGAACAGAUGGGACGACGACAGCGAACCAGGACGGGUGACGCAUAGGUUUAUCCCAUACGUCACUCUUGCCUAUCGGGAUCCAAGUUUUGGAUUCUCGAUGAGGACGUCUUUCCUGCUUACAGGGCACGGGUCGUUCAAUGCAUUUUUGCACGGGAGAGCCCUCAGCGAUACCACUGCUUGCGCAUGUGGAGAUCCAUAUGAGGACUGGAUGCAUAUCUUGUGCGCUUGCCCCCUAUAUGCAGAUCUGCGGGACCUAGAUGGACUUGGAGUGCAGCGCCUUGGCGAAAACUGGAUCUUCGAGGGAAUCCUGGAUGAUCAAGAGAAGACUCAACGGCUGGCAAUGUUUGCGGAAGAAGUGUUCCUGAGGAGGAGGGGCGUUUAGCUCAACAUCUCUGCCGUGUGGUUAGCGGGCGAGAAUACUACCACAGUCCGCUGUUGCUUGUCGUAAGAGACGACUAAUACAGCGAUAGGAUUCCUCUAACCCUGCUUGUCGGAGCAAAAGGGGGAGGCCCACCGAGCCUCUUUUCGGUACCACGGGUUGAGCAGCUAUCCAAGACUGCUCAUUGAGGUAGGCCCCCUGGUGGGAGUAUCGUGGUGGCUGUGGUUGGUACCCAUAUCGCGGGUAGAGCCUUCAUGCUCGACGUUUGAGUUACGGUGCUAGUUGCGCAAAACUCGGGUGCUGUGACCCAGAGAUCAGUAGAGAUUUUAGGUAGAUCUCGCUCCUCAGCAAGGGGGAGUGCUUGCCCGGCAAGCAAGUACUCGAAUUGCUACCGGGGUGGUCGCUAUGUACAUAGCUAUAGCUUCUAGUCCGGGACGCUUGUCUGGCGUAUCCAGACACAUGCACCAUAUGCUCACUUGUGGGCGUAUAGGGUGCCGUGGUUGUAAUCCCUUCAGUGUGGAACACGCCACGUAAAAUAAGUUCGGAGGGAUCCGAAAAGCAUACAUACAUUGUCCCUAUCUACUAUCUAGCGAAACCACAGCCAAGGGAACGGGCUUGGAAUAAUUAGCGGGGAAAGAAGACCCUUUUGAGCUUGACUCUAAUCUGGCAGUGUAAGGAGACAUAAGAGGUGUAGAAUAAGUGGGAGAUAUUAGACCUCGGUUUGGUAUCGUCAAUGAAAUACCACUACUCUUAUUGUUUCCUUACUUACUUGAUUAAAUGGAACGUGUAUCAUUUCCUAGCCAUUAUACGGAUAUAUUUAUUAUAUCUUAUGGUAUUGGGUUUUGAUGCAAGCUUCUUGAUCAAAGUAUCACGAGUUUGUUAUAUAAUCGCAAACAAAUUCUUUAAUAAAACGAUGCAUUUAUGUAUUUUUGAUUUGAAAAUUUGGUAUAACUCCAAUUACUCAGGUAUGAUCCAAUUCAAGGACAUUGCCAGGUAGGGAGUUUGACUGGGGCGGUACAUCUCUCAAAUAAUAACGGAGGUGUCCCAAGGCCAGCUCAGUGCGGACAGAAACCACACAUAGAGCAAAAGGGCAAAUGCUGACUUGAUCUCGGUGUUCAGUACACACAGGGACAGCAAAAGCUCGGCCUAUCGAUCCUUUUGGUUUAAAGAGUUUUUAACAAGAGGUGUCAGAAAAGUUGCCAUAGGGAUAACUGGCUUGUGGCGGCCAAGCGUUCAUAGCGACGUCGCUUUUUGAUCCUUCGAUGUCGGCUCUUCCUAUCAUUGUGAAGCAAAAUUCACCAAGCGUUGGAUUGUUCACCCAUGCAAGGGAACGUGAGCUGGGUUUAGACCGUCGUGAGACAGGUUAGUUUUACCCUACUAAUGACAAAACGUUGUUGCGACAGCAUUCCUGCGUAGUACGAGAGGAACCGCAGGUACGGACCAAUGGCACAAUACUUGUUCGAGCGAACAGUGGUAUGACGCUACGUCCGUUGGAUUAUGCCUGAACGCCUCUAAGGUCGUAUCCGUGCUGGACUGCAAUGAUAAAUAAGGGGCAAUUUGCAUUGUAUGGCUUCUAAACCAUUUAAAGUUUAUAAUUUACUUUAUAAACGACAAUGGAUGUGAUGCCAAUGUAAUUUGUAACAUAGUAAAUUGGGAGGAUCUUCGAUCACCUGAUGCCGCGCUAGUUACAUAUAAAAGCAUUAUUU
RNAcentral lists this ribosomal RNA (2947 nucleotides) under Drosophila melanogaster (fruit fly). RNAcentral describes it as "eukaryotic LSU rRNA". The stretch from base 1773 to 2947 matches the Rfam family "Eukaryotic large subunit ribosomal RNA", at positions 1891 to 3320 of the family's 3401-position model. Lineage: Eukaryota; Metazoa; Arthropoda; Insecta; Diptera; Drosophilidae. The record is from RNAcentral.